UCAGCUUAGGGAAGGAGGACUCUGAGGAGGCCCCGAGCGGCGGAGCGCUUCGGGGGAGGCGCCCGCGCAGACGCGAGGCCCAUAGCCAGGACCACCACCUAGCUGAUUCUUGAUGACAUUGGUCGGGAAAACUCGCCUUUCACGGCCCGGCCAAGGGGCAUUUGGGUGCUUUUGCUGCCCGUGGCUGUGCUCAGCGUUGUGGGAAGCCCCUGGGAGGCCGAAUGUGCAGGAUCACCGAGGGGAAAGUGAGCUUGACAGGAAAAGAACUACAGCCUGUGUGGGUCCCCUCCCGACAAUUAAAAUUGCACCAUAACUCCAAAGAUGAAACGCUCCCAGAAAGAAAAGGCAAAGACCCAUCGGAAACAAAAGAGCAACUUUCACCGCCUGAUACAUACACUUCAUGACAUCCACAUUGAGACAAAAUCUCGCCGUGUGACCUACAACACCUCUCGUUCAACCCCACCUACUUGGGGUCGAAUACAGAUUUUAUCUCAUCAAACAGAAAAAUUCUUAACAGAAAAAGGAAUCCCAAAAAUGACUGGUAAUAUAAUUCUGGCUGCCUUUAUGGUAGUCAGUGCAGCGUCUGCAGAUGCCUCUAAGGAGUCCGAAACCAAGUCCGAAGUCAACAACAAGCAAUGAUGGCGAUGGCGAUUCUAGUUAAUAAAAAGGGGGGAGAUGUGGGCGGCAAGCCACCCAGGCACCGAGGCAAGAGACAGAGGACACGAGCUGUUCCAGUAUAAUAAAAUAUAAAACAAGAAUAGUUAUACCAGAUAUAGAUCUUAGAUAUGAUUAUAUACGAAUAUCAUUAAUCAUGAGUUUGUAGCAAUUACUUUUUAUUCCAAUAUUAUGAUAAUCCUCGCUCUAUAAUCAUAGCCUAGGAAAAACCAGGCCAUACAGAGAUAGGAGCUGAGGGGACAUAGUGAAGUGUGACCAGAAGACAAGAGUGCGAGCCUUCUGUUAUGCCCGGACAGGGCCACCAGAGGGCUCCUUGGUCUAGCGGUGACGCCAGCGUCUGGGAAGACACCCGUUACCAGGCGGAUCGUGGCCCAGCCGUAGCAAAAGGUGUCAAGGAACACCUUUUGCAAAAGGUGUCAACACCCGCUACUUAGCAGACUGGGAAAGGGGGGCGGUCUCCCUUUCCCCGGGGGAGUUUAGAGAAGACUCUGUUCCUCCACCUCUUGUGGAGGGCCUGACAUCAGUCAGGCUUGCCCGUAGUUAUCCGGAGGCCUAACUGUCUCCCUGUGAUGCUGUGCUUCAGUGGUCACGCUCCUAGUCUGCCUUCAUUUUCCAUCCUGUACACCUGGCUCUGCCUUCUAGAUAGCAGUAGUAAAUUAGUGAAAAUACUAAUAGUCCCUGAUAUGCAGAAAUAAUGGCAUAAGCUGUCUUUCUCUCUGUCUCCUCUCCCUCUCUGCCUCGGCUGCCAGGCAGGGAAGGGCCCCCUGUCCAGUGGACACAUGACCCAUGUGACCUUACCUAUCAUUGGAGGUGACUCACAUUCUUUACCCUGCCCCUUCUGCCUUGUAUCCAAUAACAGCGCAGUCAGACAUUCAGGGCCACUACCGGUCUCCGCACAUUGGUGGUA
Molecule: long non-coding RNA, 1582 nt
Organism: Homo sapiens (human)
Lineage: Eukaryota; Metazoa; Chordata; Mammalia; Primates; Hominidae
Gene: ERVK13-1
Product: endogenous retrovirus group K13 member 1
Source: Ensembl